Molecule: long non-coding RNA, 651 nt
Organism: Ctenocephalides felis (cat flea)
Lineage: Eukaryota; Metazoa; Arthropoda; Insecta; Siphonaptera; Pulicidae
Exons: 4
Source: RefSeq, a predicted model, not a curated record
UACUGCUCGUAGGUGCUUUGGCGCCAUGUUUACUUUCGCGAGUUUUGAGUAUAAUUGGAAUAAUUUAUAAAAUGUUUUAGUGUUUGAUUAUAUUUCAUAUUUCGAAAAAAUAUUGUUUAAAAUAAUACGCUAUGCAAAAUUAUUUAUUGAUUCUUCUAAUCGUGUUUUAGUGGCAGCGUCAAAUAUUGAUGUUGAUGAUACAUUUUUUGAUGGAGACAAGUGGUUAUUUUAAGCUUGGAGGGAUGUUGGAGAUGAGGAUGUUGAUGAUGAACAUUGUAUGCGGUUUCAAUGGAGAAGAAGUUUGCUUGCUGGUGGAUAUAGUUUUAUUAUCAAGUGCUCAAAAUGUGUAAUUCAGUUACAAGUGACGCGCGAACGCAAUACUAAAUCCACACACAGAGACAAGAAGACACGUUCCUCCAUGGAGCAAUCUCUUCAUCCAGUAAUUACAAUCUCCGAGACGUCCCCAACAAGCCGGUUCCAGCUUUCGUUCACAAACGCGUUCCCACACCCACCAGCACAGGGCGCCGCCUAGCUGUCCCCCCCGCACUUUAAUCUGUCACCUGGAGCAUUGAAGCGCAUAAUCCGACUUCGGCUCUUCGAGAAUGGAUUCGCAAUAAACGGAGUGUUGACGGUGCCGACUUAAUUUAUUAU